This 496-nucleotide ribosomal RNA is filed under the name uncultured bacterium. RNAcentral describes it as "partial 16S ribosomal RNA". It matches the Rfam family "Bacterial small subunit ribosomal RNA", at positions 29 to 507 of the family's 1533-position model. The record is from RNAcentral.
AUGAACGCUGGCGGCGUGCCUAAUACAUGCAAGUCGAGCGAACAGAUGAGGAGCUUGCUCCUCUGACGUUAGCGGCGGACGGGUGAGUAACACGUGGAUAACCUACCUAUAAGACUGGGAUAACUUCGGGAAACCGGAGCUAAUACCGGAUAAUAUAUUGAACCGCAUGGUUCAAUAGUGAAAGACGGUUUUGCUGUCACUUAUAGAUGGAUCCGCGCCGCAUUAGCUAGUUGGUAAGGUAACGGCUUACCAAGGCGACGAUGCGUAGCCGACCUGAGAGGGUGAUCGGCCACACUGGAACUGAGACACGGUCCAGACUCCUACGGGAGGCAGCAGUAGGGAAUCUUCCGCAAUGGGCGAAAGCCUGACGGAGCAACGCCGCAUGAGUGAUGAAGGUCUUCGGAUCGUAAAACUCUGUUAUUAGGGAAGAACAAAUGUGUAAGUAACUAUGCACGUCUUGACGGUACCUAAUCAGAAAGCCACGGCUAACUACGUG